RNAcentral lists this ribosomal RNA (501 nucleotides) under uncultured soil bacterium. RNAcentral's name for it is "bacterial SSU rRNA". It matches the Rfam family "Bacterial small subunit ribosomal RNA", at positions 26 to 510 of the family's 1533-position model. The record is from RNAcentral.
AGAGUGAACGCUGGCGGUAGGCCUGACACAUGCAAGUCGAACGGCAGCACAGUAGGAGCUUGCUCUUACGGGUGGCGAGUGGCGGACGGGUGAGGAAUACAUCGGAAUCUACCUUUUGGUGGGGGGAUAACGUAGGGAAACUUACGCUAAUACCGCAUACGCCCUUCGGGGGAAAGCCGGGGACCAGCAAUGGCCUGGUGCUGAUAGAUGAGCCGAUGUCGGAUUAGCUAGUUGGUGAGGUAAUGGCUCACCAAGGCGACGAUCCGUAGCUGGUCUGAGAGGAUGAUCAGCCACACUGGAACUGAGACACGGUCCAGACUCCUACGGGAGGCAGCAGUGGGAAUAGUUGGACAAUGGGACGCAAGCCUGAUCCAGCCCAUACCGCGUGGUGAAGAAGGCCUUCGGUUGUAAAGCCCUUUUGUCGGAAAGAAAAGCAUUACGGUUAAUACCCGGUGUUCUGACGGUACCAAAGAAUAAGACUACCGGACUAACGUUCGACCG